GGGUGAUUCCCCUCUAAUCAGGGCCUGAUUUAGACCUGGGACACCAGGUGGGUGAUUCCCCUCUAAUCAGGGCCUGAUUUAGACCUGGGACACCAGGUGGGUGAUUCCCCUCUAAUCAGGGACUGAUUUAGACCUGGGACACCAGGUGGGUGAUUCCCCUCUAAUCAGGGCCUGAUUUAGACCUGGGACACCAGGUGGGUGAUUCCCCUCUAAUCAGGGCCUGAUUUAGACCUGGGACACCAGGUGGGUGAUUCCCCUCUAAUCAGGGCCUGAUUUAGACCUGGGACACCAGGUGGGUGAUUCCCCUCUAAUCAGGGCCUGAUUUAGACCUGGGACACCAGGUGGGUGAUUCCCCUCUAAUCAGGGCCUGAUUUAGACCUGGGACACCAGGUGGGUGAUUCCCCUCUAAUCAGGGACUGAUUUAGACCUGGGACACCAGGUGGGUGAUUCCCCUCUAAUCAGGGCCUGAUUUAGACCUGGGACACCAGG
This is a long non-coding RNA of Oncorhynchus keta (chum salmon), 489 nucleotides long. RefSeq lists it as uncharacterized. The record is from RefSeq and is a predicted model, not a curated record. The transcript is spliced from 3 exons. Lineage: Eukaryota; Metazoa; Chordata; Actinopteri; Salmoniformes; Salmonidae.